This 253-nucleotide ribosomal RNA is filed under the name uncultured bacterium. RNAcentral describes it as "partial 16S ribosomal RNA". It matches the Rfam family "Bacterial small subunit ribosomal RNA", at positions 524 to 776 of the family's 1533-position model. The record is from RNAcentral.
GACAGAGGGUGCAAACGUUGCUCGGAAUUACUGGGCGUAAAGGGCGUGUAGGCGGGAAGGAAAGUCAGAUGUGAAAUCCCUGGGCUCAACCCAGGAACUGCAUUUGAAACUCCCUUUCUUGAGUGUCGGAGAGGAAAGUGGAAUUCCUGGUGUAGAGGUGAAAUUCGUAGAUAUCAGGAGGAACACCGGUGGCGAAGGCGGCUUUCUGGACGACAACUGACGCUGAGACGCGAAAGCGUGGGGAGCAAACAGG